UUCACUCGCUCUUGCUCUAUAAUUAUAAUACAGUAACUAUUUCCCCUCCUUACAUAGGUGUAUUUAUCAACUCUCUCAUUCUAUGGCAUUCUCGCGAGGACGAUGCUUGUAUACCGUAUAUCUGUCCUUCUUCAUUCUGAAUAACCUUUCUUCGUCUCUCUUCAUACCACGCGGUGUAUACAGUAGCUCACGAUUGUAUUCGAACACUUGUAAAACGCAUUAUUUUGAAAUUUUAUUGGCAUUGUAAUGAUUAUAUUUAUUGGUAAAAUUUGUAAUGAAUCUGAAAGUCUAUGCCAAAAUUGCAAGAUAUUUAUUGUAAGCGAUAUGACAAUAUGAUAACGAUAGACUCUAGAUAGUUCUUAUUACUGUAGACUAAUUUCUUACUUAAUAUGCGUUUGCAGCAAAUACCUUGUUGCUUCUAUGUACAUUUUUAGAUCGAAUAUUUCAGGUAUUAUCAUGAUAUUUACAUUUCAUUGUACUGUUAAUUCAAAAUGUUUUAUAUAACGUAUAUACAUCAAAUAUACGUAUGUAUAUGUACAUCAGUAUACGCAUAAAAUAAUUACAUAAAAUAUAUAAAAUAAAAUAUUUGCGUACAAUAUAUACAUAAAAUAUUUCCUAUGAUAAAAGUGUUCAAAUACCUCCAUAAGCAGCCACAAAUCGGUAAUGAUUUCAUAUGAGACCUUCAGAUAUGUAUGCUAUUUCCUUUCCGAUCGUUAAUCGAAUAUGUAGUUAAUAGCUUCGUCAUUUCCAAAUGACGUUCAUUUAUAAACCGUUGUACUAUGAGUUAAUAGGUAAAUUUGUAUAUGAGAGGUUGAGGUUAGGUGUCAGCUGGACAGAAUCAUUACCUCCCACUGUCUUUCUCUCUUUCGGUCGACGAUCCACGGAGCGAAAGAAGAUUCGCUUUAAUUCAAAGCGAAUUAACCUUCCUGCACGCUUUUGCCCCCACUGAUCUUACGUAAUUAAGUGCGGUCAAGCCUGACAUGCUUUUUACGAAUUUUGAACUACAAGGAAGCGCGCCAUCGUGCGGCGCGAUCGUUUGUAUAGUCCCUACGAUUAUCGAACGAUUAUAUCGAUUAAUACAAUUGACACUCCAUCUCUUCGAUAAAGUGUUGCAAAACAGAACAUCGUUCCGGAAGAUUAGAAAAGAUUAGAAAAAUUAUCUGAGAAAAUAGAUUCGAGCAUUCGAAUAGAAUUAAUUUGUGAAUGUCACGUUCAAGUAGUUUGACAUAUAUGGAAUUAAAGUGUCGCCUAUGUUCCAGCCGUGACCGUUCGUUUUAUGCUCAUGUAGCUGCUUGUCACGCGUGCUAUUCGCGAUGCGAUAGGAUUGCAUCGGUAUUAUACAAUACUUCAACUGAAACGUAGGUGGAACGCGAACUGUGCAAGUUUCGUCUAAAACUCCGUCCAGCUGAUGAUAAUAGAUUCACUGAUCUCUGCACUCGUGCACGCACGUAUCAGCCGAGUCAUUUUUCACCCGAUGCAUUACCAUCGGAUGCUACUAGCGAAAACGUCCUCAUGGAAAGUAGCAGUUUUGUAAGGAAGCUAAGUAUAUAUGUAUAUAAAUCAUAUUUCUUUGCAUUUAAAUACUGUCUCCUUAUCUCUUCCUCGUAGGUAUUCAUUGAUUCUUUUUCUCUUUUAAAUGAUGUGUUACGCCUAUAUACCAGUUCAUUUAAAAAAUAAGCAUUCGCUGAUCUUCGUAUCGCGUUAUCUCGGUCGCACCUUCUGCGAAAUUACACGUGCAUAGAGUGGGACACGGUUUCAAGGGAUCUAUGUGCGGCGUUGCGCGCGACCUGUUUAUUUUCGGGCCGAUUCUCAUAU
Long non-coding RNA from Bombus pyrosoma, 1815 nucleotides. RefSeq lists it as uncharacterized. NCBI's taxonomy places the organism in Eukaryota, Metazoa, Arthropoda, Insecta, Hymenoptera, Apidae. The record is from RefSeq and is a predicted model, not a curated record. The transcript is spliced from 3 exons.